UAGCCGUAAACGAUACUCGCUAGGUGUCGGCCACGGUGCGACCGUUGUCGGUGCCGUAGGGAAGCCGUGAAGCGAGCCACCUGGGAAGUACGGCCGCAAGGCUGAAACUUAAAGGAAUUGGCGGGGGAGGCACAACAACGGGUGGAGCUUGCGGUUUAAUUUGGAUUCAACGCCGGAAAUCUUACCGGGACCGACAGCAACAUGAAGGCCAAGCUGAAGACUUUGCCGGAUUAGCUGAGAGGAGGUGCAUGGCGUAGUCGUGU
This 263-nucleotide ribosomal RNA is filed under the name uncultured archaeon. Its description in RNAcentral is "partial 16S ribosomal RNA". It matches the Rfam family "Archaeal small subunit ribosomal RNA", at positions 748 to 1009 of the family's 1478-position model. The record is from RNAcentral.